UACCAGACUCCUACGGGAGGCAGCAGUGAGGAAUAUUGGUCAAUGGGCGGGAGCCUGAACCAGCCAAGUCGCGUGAGGGAAGACGGUCCUACGGAUUGUAAACCUCUUUUGCCGGGGAGCAACGGGGUCCUUGCGAGGGCCCGAUGAGAGUACCCGGAGAAAAAGCAUCGGCUAACUCCGUGCCAGCAGCCGCGGUAAUACGGAGGAUGCGAGCGUUAUCCGGAUUUAUUGGGUUUAAAGGGUGCGUAGGCGGGCGGUUAAGUCAGCGGUAAAAGCCCGGGGCUCACCCCCGGCGAGCCGUUGAAACUGGCUGUCUUGAGAUGUCGAGAGGUAUGCGGAAUGCGCAGUGUAGCGGUGAAAUGCAUAGAUAUCGCGCAGAACUCCGAUUGCGAAGGCAGCAUGCCGGCUCCACACUGACGCUGAGGCACGAAAGCGUGGGUAUCGAACAGGAUUAGAUACCCCGGUACC
This 468-nucleotide ribosomal RNA is filed under the name uncultured bacterium. Its description in RNAcentral is "bacterial SSU rRNA". It matches the Rfam family "Bacterial small subunit ribosomal RNA", at positions 329 to 796 of the family's 1533-position model. The record is from RNAcentral.